GACGAACGCUGGCGGCGUGCCUAAUACAUGCAAGUUGAGCGCUGAAGGUUGGUACUUGUACCAACUGGAUGAGCAGCGAACGGGUGAGUAACGCGUGGGGAAUCUGCCUUUGAGCGGGGGACAACAUUUGGAAACGAAUGCUAAUACCGCAUAAAAACUUUAAACACAAGUUUUAAGUUUGAAAGAUGCAAUUGCAUCACUCAAAGAUGAUCCCGCGUUGUAUUAGCUAGUUGGUGAGGUAAAGGCUCACGAAGGCGAUGAUACAUAGCCGACCUGAGAGGGUGGUCGGCCACAUUGGGACGGGGACACGGCCCAAAAUCCUACGGGAGGCAGCAGUAGGGAAUCUUCGGCAAUGGACGAAAGUCUGACCGAGCAACGCCGCGUGAGUGAAGAAGGUUUUCGGAUCGUAAAACUCUGUUGGUAGAGAAGAACGUUGGUGAGAGUGGAAAGCUCAUCAAGUGACGGUAACUACCCAGAAAGGGACGGCUAACUACGUG
RNAcentral lists this ribosomal RNA (497 nucleotides) under uncultured bacterium. RNAcentral's name for it is "partial 16S ribosomal RNA". It matches the Rfam family "Bacterial small subunit ribosomal RNA", at positions 28 to 507 of the family's 1533-position model. The record is from RNAcentral.